This 84-nucleotide small nucleolar RNA is filed under the name Nelumbo nucifera (sacred lotus). The record is from RNAcentral. Lineage: Eukaryota; Viridiplantae; Streptophyta; Magnoliopsida; Proteales; Nelumbonaceae.
GAGCAGAUGAUGAGAAGUAUUUGUCUUCGCUGAGAGAAAUCUCCAUGAAGCUUCAAAUAUCGAGCUUUUUAAAACUGAUGCUCA